GAUGAACGCUGGCGGCGUGCCUAAUACAUGCAAGUCGAACGAAACUUCUUUAUCACCGAGUGCUUGCACUCACCGAUAAAGAGUUGAGUGGCGAACGGGUGAGUAACACGUGGGCAACCUGCCCAAAAGAGGGGGAUAACACUUGGAAACAGGUGCUAAUACCGCAUAACCAUAGUUACCGCAUGGUAACUAUGUAAAAGGUGGCUAUACUACCGCUUUUGGAUGGGCCCGCGGCGCAUUAGCUAGUUGGUAGGGUAAAGGCUUACCAAGGCAAUGAUGCGUAGCCGAAUUGAGAGGUUGAUCGGCCACAUUGGGACUGAGACACGGCCCAAACUCCUACGGGAGGCAGCAGUAGGGAAUCUUCCACAAUGGGCGAAAGCCUGAUGGAGCAACGCCGCGUGGGUGAAGAAGGUCUUCGGAUCGUAAAACCCUGUUGUUAGGGAAGAAAGUGCGUGAGAGUAACUGUUCACGUUUCGACGGUAUCUAACCAGAAAGCCACGGCUAACUACGUG
Molecule: ribosomal RNA, 512 nt
Filed under: uncultured bacterium
Lineage: Bacteria
Description: partial 16S ribosomal RNA
Rfam family: Bacterial small subunit ribosomal RNA
Source: RNAcentral